Molecule: ribosomal RNA, 403 nt
Filed under: uncultured bacterium
Lineage: Bacteria
Description: bacterial SSU rRNA
Rfam family: Bacterial small subunit ribosomal RNA
Source: RNAcentral
AGCGAACGUUAGCGGCGGGCCUAACACAUGCAAGUCGAACGCGAAAGGUCUUCGGACUGGGUAGAGUGGCGCACGGGUGAGCAACACGUAGGUAAUCUACCCUUUGGCGGGGGAUAACGUUCCGAAAGGAGCGCUAAUACCGCAUAAGACCACGGAGUCUCCGGACGCUGUGGGAAAAGGUGGCCUCUUCUUGAAAGCUACCACCGAAGGAUGAGCCUGCGUCCCAUCAGCUAGUUGGUAAGGUAAUGGCUUACCAAGGCGAAGACGGGUAGCUGGUUUGAGAGAAUGAUCAGCCACACUGGCACUGGAACACGGGCCAGACUCCUACGGGAGGCAGCAGUGAGGAAUAUUGGGCAAUGGGCGAAAGCCUGACCCAGCCACGCCGCGUGAGUGAAGAAGGCCU